Molecule: long non-coding RNA, 6961 nt
Filed under: Fragaria vesca (wild strawberry)
Lineage: Eukaryota; Viridiplantae; Streptophyta; Magnoliopsida; Rosales; Rosaceae
Description: long non-coding RNA (FVES_LNC000238)
Source: RNAcentral
UAUGGACGAGUGUAAAUACAUACAUAUAUUAUAGAGUCUGAGAGGCUCGAUAUUUUAUGGGAUAAAGGUUUUAUCGCUUGCGGCAUGCAUUCGAUUUUUCCUUAGAAAUUAAUUUGGGGAAACAUAAAUAUUUUAAUUAUUAAUUUAUUUUUGUCCACUCACUCUAACGUUAUUAAAUGUUUUCCCCUGGGCCCUUCGUUUUAAAUUGCCCAGUCUGCAGAGUUCGGGUUGGAUCUAGUAGGAGACGAGGCAUAGUCACCCGCUUUUCGGCCAGUUUUCAUCAGUAGGUUACCUGUUCAACCUACUUGUGUUUUCUUGCUUCCGCUUGUGUUUAGUAGCUCUGAAUACUUUAGAAUUUUUGUAUAUUAUGUGAUAUUCAGAAGCGUUAAAUUAAGAGUGUAAUAUGAAAUUUUCGAGUUAGGGUUGUCCAUCUGCAAGGGAGAUUUUCUUAAUAUUUUCAGUAAAUUUUCCUUGGAGGUGGUCCCCGCACGACUUACUCUGGGUUUCAGGGUGAAAUUCGGGGUGGGUCGUGUCAAUACCUCGGAAACUUAGAAAGACAUCAUAUUUCCAUUCAGAAGUUGACGAAGGAAAAGAUGUAAAGGCUCUUUCUAAACUCAUUGUGAUUGGAAACUACUGUCUUAUCUGUCACUGUUUAUUGGAGAUUGUCUCGGGAUCAUGAACUAUAUGCCAGGUACCAAUUCUAGCAUGAAGAACAAGCAAUUCGUUUGUUUCCUCCUUCACAGAAAUAGAUAAAAACUUAGUUAUUUAGUGAACCAUAUCUGCGUAAAUUCUGAAAAGAGUGGUAUACUAUUAUCUGGUUCUGGAAUCUACUAAACAAAGACUCGCUCUUUUUAAAGAUAUAUAUAUAUACAGUUAGGAUCUGGGGAGGACGUCCGUAAAAUGAAAAGGGUGCGGAUGGACAUGUGUCGGCCACAGGAAUCAACUGCAUUUUAUAGUGGGACCCACCACGUCCUUGACUGCAUCCCUUCCUUUCUCUUACGCUCUAAACCCAGAAACGUUUCUUUGUGGGUCUCACUCCUAUCAUCUUCUCUAAUCUUCAAAAGAAUUAAGUUCAUAACAUCACACAAGCAUGGCUAAUGGUUUUGCAAGAUCAGUUGGACGUCGACUUGUACAAACCACCAAAUCUUCCAAUGAAAUUAAUAUCAAACACAAAACCAUUAUAAUAGGAGUAAGAAGAGCAAUAACAAUAGGUUUCAUUUCUCCCAAAAUUUGCUUUAAAAUCGGGAAUUGCUGCUAGAAAUAAGGUAAAUUCUGAAAUGGAGGUGGAGGAUGAAUUGGGUAGAUCGCGAAGAAUGAAACUCACCCACUCUAUAAUAAUGGUUGAUGUAUAUAUGGAGUAAAGUUUGACCCUUAGAGGGUCGAAGAAGAUGAGAAAGUGAAGAUUGGGAUUUUUAAGAUUACAUAAGAUGAGUGGUUCUGUGGUUUGAAGGUUAUAUAAUUGUGAGAAUGGUGGAGGGGCAGAACAAAUUUGGAAUUGAAGCAGAGAUUCAGAGAUUGAGGUGACGGCGGCGGUGGUCAAUGUGUUUCUUUGGGGAUGGGAAAUGAGCAUCAACUCUCAAAGUACUAUAUAGUUGUGUGCGAAUGCUGAGGCAUGCCCACCCAUUUCAUCAACACUUAGACUUCCUACUUAAAUCUAUUUCUGGAUCUGUAAUGGAGAUGAGAAAGGCAGAGGAAAAUCAAGUUUCUGGGUUUAGCGCGUGUGAGAGAUCGAGGAAGGGAUGUGGUCAAAGCAAGAAGAGAGGUGGUGAGACCCAGUUUAAAAUACAGUUGAUUCCUCUAGUCGACAUGUGUCCAUCCGCACUCUUUUCAUUUUGCGGACGUCCUCCUCAGAUCCUAACUGUAUAACCAAGUUCAAAUGGUAUGUUUAAUUAGACUUGCUAGUGCAUCAUAAUUCAUGACUAAAAUUAUCUCCAAUCAUAUAUAUUAAUUAGACAUGAUCAGAAGAAUAUUAAUCACAAACUCAAUGCUAAGUUGCUCACUGUCCCAGAUCGGAAAAGAUCAAGAUAUAAAAACAUGUAGAAGAUGAAAUUACAGAUUAGGCAUCAAGCAGUAUAGAAAUUAGUAGGAGAUCGACUAACCUGGAGGAAUUGCAGAAGCAAAUGUAUUCUGAAACAGGAAAUAAUCAACCCGCGGUAAGACUAAAAAGAUCAAUACCAGAGCGAUGACUGAAUGGGAAGAAGAUGCAAGGAUGGUUGGGUUUCUUGGGUCUUCUAACCUGUCCAAAUCUCACACACCUUCUCGGCAAAUGAACAACUCGAACAAAAAUACAUAUAACAUAUUCAUGGUAGUUGCCUAAUUAAGUUGAAUAUCAUACUCAAAGUAAGCAACUUCCAGGUGAAUGUAUCAAUAAGUUCAAUGCUUNNNNNNNNNNNNNNNNNNNNCCAGAUAGAUAUAGUUUCUUUAAGAGGAUAGACAGCCGAUAUUAUCAGGGAUAGCUCCUUCCAAAGAUUGCAGUACGACAAAUCCAGUUUGGUUAAAGAAUGUAAACCAGCAAAGGAAGGCAGCAACUUAGAUAUCGGUGGUCCUUUACAUCUACAAAAGACUAAUUCUUUGAGAUUUCGAAGACCCAUGCAUGCAGGCAGUUCUCUCAAGGCAGUUCCAUUCACAUUAAGUUGUACCAGACUCUCUAAAUGGCCCAAGUCUGCCGGUAAUUUCUCAAGCUUCGAGCAAUCUGAAAGAUCAAAAACUUUCAGCGAUUUUAAGCCAGAUACCCUGCUUGGAAGAAGCCUAAGGUUUUCGCAACGCAUCAAGUUUAUCUGAACAAGUCUUUCAAGGAAUCCAACGGAUGAAUCAACCUCGUACAGCUGUAUACAACCUUCAAGAUUCAAGUAUUCAAGAUCUGGACUACCACUGAAGUCAGGGGUCUUCAGAAGAUUCAAAGAGUGACUGAGGUCGAUUCGUUUCAAACUGUAUAGAGGCUGUAAAUACAUAUAUAGCAAAAUUAGCUUCCAUUAUUCAAUAAAUACAUAUAAAACUUAAAUACGUUGUGACAUGGUACCUUUUCACCCUCCCACAGAUAUUCAAUAUGGCUAUGGCGCAUUUCAAGUACUUGUAAGUACUCUAGGCUGGUAACUGACGCCAAAGAUUGUAGAGGACAUUUCCACCAGAUUAGACUCCGUAACUCACUUGAAAGAUACUCGAGGCAGUCCGAGAGGUGCACACAAACACCAUCAAGUAUCAGUAUUCUCAAAUUUGUCAUCUUUGAAAAGGAUUUUCCGGGAAAGUGUAAUUCUGUGUCUGCAUCUUUAUUCACACGUAGUACUAUGGCUUCCGCUGCAUCUGUUCCCUAAUAAACAUAAAUAAAGAAUAGUCAGCUCGGACCUUGUUAUAAAAUGCAAUAGCAACUGAAGUCAUUGUUGCAGUAAGUUUCUCACUCUAUUUUUUCUCAGGACGUGAAUAACAUCCUUUUUAAGGCUCAACCUACUGCGCUUGCCUGGCUCCUUAGGAGAUUCUCGGCGAACAAUUUCUAGGCCCAUUUCUUGCAGCAAAUCAUGCAUUUCUAGUUGUUCUACACUGCCAGCAUCUGAAAUAGUUAAGAGAGAUCUCUCCACAAGUACAUCAAUCCCAAUAGUUGCAUGAAAGCCACAACUCUUGAGUACUUCUAUUACUGCAUUUUUCUCAUAUCCUUUGUAUAAACAUGCAAUAUCUAGAAAGAUAUUCUUCUCAUCGUCAUCUAGACCAUCAUAACUUAUUUUAAGUGUCUCGAAAAUUUCUGCAUUACGAACUUCUCUCAAUUUUGCCAACGUACUUUCCCAUGCACUAGGACCUCUUCCAUGCAAAAGAGAUCCCAAGACUUUAAGAGCUAGAGGGAGACCUUUAGCAUAAUUCACAACUUGAUUAGACAAAUCACGGUAACUUUGUUCAGGGUAAUCUUUCUUAAAGGCGUUCUGGCAAAAAAGCUGAAGAGCUUCAAUAGUAUUUAGUCCUUGGACCUCAUAUCUUCUCAGCACUCCAUGUUUAACUAACAGGUGAGCAUCUCUAGUUGUAAUGAUAAUUAUGCUUCCAAAACCAAACCAGUCUUCCUUUCCAGCCAAGUACUCCAAAUGGUCCGAAUGAUUAACAUCAUCAAGAACGAGAAGAACCCUUUUGUGACGUAGAAAUCUCUUUAUCAUUGUGGCUCCUUCAUGAACAUCCCGUACGUUAGUCCUAGAAAUAAGUUCCUUUUGUAACUGAACCAGACCCCUUCUUUCUUCAUUGCUUCUAACAUUAGAAAUAAAGCCCCUGAACUCAAACUGAUUAGAGAUUUGAUCAAAAAGUACUUUGGCAAUCGUUGUCUUACCAAUUCCACCCAUUCCCCAUACCCCUAUAAAGUGAAUAUCAUUCAUCCCUACACCUAAAAGCGAUUUAACUGCUUCUACUCUUGAAUCAAUCCCAACUAGGUUCUCCAUUGAACUAAACAAUGUUGGGCGUGAUUGCAUCCUUACUGCAGCAACAAUGUUCUUGAUGAGCUCCGAUUCAUACCUGGAAUAGAUGAGAAACAAUAUUGACCAGUUUCUUCAUGCUGCAGUGACACUCACAUACAUAGAAGAGGCAGAAAUUAAAGAAAUAAAUUGAAUGAAUACCUGUAGUCCUUUGAAUUCCACCCAGAGUAAGUUUGACACUUUUGUUAGAGCAGCUCUCCACUUUUGCACCUUCUCUGUGUCGUCACUAGGUCUCUUUUCAUGUUUGGUGAAGGCUUCUGCAAAAUUUCCAGUUUGUCGUCUCACUUCACAGGGAUCGACAUUAUAGAAUAUUGGAUAAAUUGUUUUCCUAGCUUCCAUGCACUCAAGAAUCUUCAAAAGUUCAUCCAAGCACCAUGCUGAAGAUGCAUAAUUUAGUGAGAGUACGACGAGUGCAAUAUUUGAUUCUUCAAUUGCAGCGAAAAGUUCCGUAGAAAUAGAUUUCCCUUUUUGGAGCUCACGGUCAUCCAUGAAAGUUUUUAUUCCCUGAUCUUCCAGUGAAUUGUAUAAGUAGUUUGUAUAACCGUUCCGGGUGUCUAUACCUCGGAAACUUAGAAAGACAUCAUAUUUCCAUUCAGAAGUUGACGAAGGAAAAGAUGUAGAGGCUCUUUCUGAACUCAUUGUGACUGGAAACUACUGUCUUAUCUGUCACUGUUUAUUGGAGAUUGUCUCGGGAUCAUGAACUAUAUGCCAGGUACCAAUUCUAGCAUGAAGAACAAGCAAUUCGUUUGUUUCCUCCUUCACAGAAAUAGAUAAAAACUUAGUUAUUUAGUGAACCAUAUCUGUGUAAAUUCUGAAAAGAGUGGUAUACUAUUAUCUGGUUCUGGAAUCUACUAAACAAAGACUCGCUCUUUUUAAAGAUAUAUAUAUAUAUACAGUUAGGAUCUGGGGAGGACGUCCGUAAAAUGAAAAGGGUGCGGAUGGACAUGUGUCGGCCACAGGAAUCAACUGCAUUUUAUAGUGGGACCCACCACGUCCUUGACUGCAUCCCUUCCUUUCUUUUACGCUCUAAACCCAGAAACGUUUCUUUGUGGGUCUCACUCCUAUCAUCUUCUCUAAUCUUCAAAAGAAUUAAGUUCAUAACAUCACACAAGCAUGGCUAAUGGUUUUGCAAGAUCAGUUGGACGUCGACUUGUACAAACCACCAAAUCUUCCAAUGAAAUUAAUAUCAAACACAAAACCAUUAUAAUAGGAGUAAGAAGAGCAAUAACAAUAGGUUUCAUUUCUCCCAAAAUUUGCUUUAAAAUCGGGAAUUGCUGCUAGAAAUAAGGUAAAUUCUGAAAUGGAGGUGGAGGAUGAAUUGGGUAGAUCGCGAAGAAUGAAACUCACCCACUCUAUAAUAAUGGUUGAUGUAUAUAUGGAGUAAAGUUUGACCCUUAGAGGGUCGAAGAAGAUGAGAAAGUGAAGAUUGGGAUUUUUAAGAUUACAUAAGAUGAGUGGUUCUGUGGUUUGAAGGUUAUAUAAUUGUGAGAAUGGUGGAGGGGCAGAACAAAUUUGGAAUUGAAGCAGAGAUUCAGAGAUUGAGGUGACGGCGGCGGUGGUCAAUGUGUUUCUUUGGGGAUGGGAAAUGAGCAUCAACUCUCAAAGUACUAUAUAGUUGUGUGCGAAUGCUGAGGCAUGCCCACCCAUUUCAUCAACACUUAGACUUCCUACUUAAAUCUAUUUCUGGAUCUGUAAUGGAGAUGAGAAAGGCAGAGGAAAAUCAAGUUUCUGGGUUUUAGCGCGUGUGAGAGAUCGAGGAAGGGACGUGGUCAAAGUAAGAAGAGAGGUGGUGAGACCCAGUUUAAAAUACAGUUGAUUCCUCUAGUCGACAUGUGUCCAUCCGCACUCUUUUCAUUUUUGCGGACGUCCUCCUCAGAUCCUAACUGUAUAACCAAGUUCAAAUGGUAUGUUUAAUUAGACUUGCUAGUGCAUCAUAAUUCAUGACUAAAAUUAUCUCCAAUCAUAUAUAUUAAUUAAACAUGAUCAGAAGAAUAUUAAUCACAAACUCAAUGCUAAGUUGCUCACUGUCCCAGAUCGGAAAAGAUUAAGAUACAAAAACAUGUAGAAGAUGAAAUUACAGAUUAGGCAUCAAGCAGUAUAGAAAUUAGUAGGAGAUCGACUAACCUGGAGGAAUUGCAGAAGCAAAUGUAUUCUGAAACAGGAAAUAAUCAACCCGCGGUAAGACUAAAAAGAUCAAUACCAGAGCGAUGACUGAAUGGGAAGAAGAUGCAAGGAUGGUUGGGUUUCUUGGGUCUUCUAACCUGUCCAAAUCUCACACACCUUCUCGGCAAAUGAACAACUCGAACAAAAAUACAUAUAACAUAUUCAUGGUAGUUGCCUAAUUAAGUUGAAUAUCAUACUCAAAGUAAGCAACUUCCAGGUGAAUGUAUCAAUAAGUUCAAUGCUUCACCAUUUGUUUCUUUAAGUUUGAAGCUCGAUAUAUUAUAUAGAGAAAGAGAGUCAUCAUAGAGAUUAGCUCAGUAGCUAGUUGAACAACCAAGUUGGUCAUAAACAAUUAU